This is a non-coding RNA of Pogona vitticeps (central bearded dragon), 350 nucleotides long. The record is from RefSeq and is a predicted model, not a curated record. NCBI's taxonomy places the organism in Eukaryota, Metazoa, Chordata, Lepidosauria, Squamata, Agamidae.
UGCACUUCCAGGGAAGCCUUUCGACCCCAGCUUCUUGCUCAGCUGUGCUACGUCCAACGUCAUCUGCUCCAUUGUCUUUAGUACCCAUUUUGAUUACCAUGACAAGAGAUUUCUAGGGAUGAUGAAAGUGAUGAACGACAACUUCUGGAUUAUUAGCUCUCCAUGGGGACAGCUCAGCAAUUUCUUCCCAACUUUCAUGAACCUCAUUCCUGGGCCUCACCACAGAAUGGCAAAAAACAAUGAAAAAAUGAGAGAUUUUGUUAACAAGGCAAUUAAGCACAAUAAGGACACCCUUGAUCCCAGGGCUCCACGGGACUUCAUUGACUGCUUUCUUAUUAAAAUGGAGCAGG